AGCGGAGGAAAAGAAACUAACAAGGAUUCCCCUAGUAACGGCGAGCGAAGCGGGAAGAGCUCAAAUUUGAAAGCUGGCGUCUUCGGCGUCCGCGUUGUAAUCUCGAGACGUGUUUUCCGUGCGGCUCUAUGGACAAGUCCCUUGGAACAGGGCAUCGUAGAGGGUGAAAAUCCCGUACUUGCCAUGGAAGUACCGUGCUUUGUGAUACACGUUCCAAGAGUCGAGUAGUUUGGGAUUGCUGCUCAAAGUGGGUGGUAGACUCCAUCUAAAGCUAAAUAUCGGGGAGAGACCGAUAGCGAACAAGUACCGUGAGGGAAAGAUGAAAAGCACUUUGGAAAGAGAGUUAAAAGUACGUGAAAUUGUCGAAAGGGAAGCACUUGAAGUCAGCCAUGCUGCUUGAGACUCAGCCUGGCUUUUGCUUGGUGUAUUUCUCGGUAGCAAGCCAGCAUUGGUUUGUGUCGUCGGAGAAGCGUAUGGGGAAUGUGGCAUCCUCGGAUGUGUUAUAGCCCUGUGCUGGAUACGACGACGCAGACCAAGGAACGCAGUGUGCCCUCUGGGCGGGUCUUCGGACACCUUCACACUUA
RNAcentral lists this ribosomal RNA (584 nucleotides) under Malassezia restricta. RNAcentral describes it as "eukaryotic LSU rRNA". It matches the Rfam family "Eukaryotic large subunit ribosomal RNA", at positions 49 to 619 of the family's 3401-position model. The record is from RNAcentral. Lineage: Eukaryota; Fungi; Basidiomycota; Malasseziomycetes; Malasseziales; Malasseziaceae.